Molecule: ribosomal RNA, 437 nt
Filed under: uncultured Clostridiales Family IV bacterium
Lineage: Bacteria; Bacillati; Bacillota; Clostridia; Eubacteriales; Eubacteriales Family IV. Incertae Sedis
Description: bacterial SSU rRNA
Rfam family: Bacterial small subunit ribosomal RNA
Source: RNAcentral
ACGGGAGGCAGCAGUGGGGAAUAUUGCACAAUGGGGGAAACCCUGAUGCAGCAACGCCGCGUGAGGGAAGACGGUUUUCGGAUUGUAAACCUUUGUCUUUGGUGAAGAAACAAAUGACGGUAGCCAAGGAGGAAGCCACGGCUAACUACGUGCCAGCAGCCGCGGUAAUACGUAGGUGGCAAGCGUUGUCCGGAAUUACUGGGUGUAAAGGGAGCGCAGGCGGGACUGCAAGUCAGCUGUGAAAUACAUGGGCUCAACCCGUGGACGGCAGUUGAAACUGUAGUUCUUGAGUGAAGUAGAGGUAGGCGGAAUUCCGAGUGUAGCGGUGAAAUGCGUAGAUAUUCGGAGGAACACCAGUGGCGAAGGCGGCCUACUGGGCUUUAACUGACGCUGAGGCUCGAAAGUGUGGGGAGCAAACAGGAUUAGAUACCCUGGUA